Molecule: long non-coding RNA, 1285 nt
Filed under: Phascolarctos cinereus (koala)
Lineage: Eukaryota; Metazoa; Chordata; Mammalia; Diprotodontia; Phascolarctidae
Description: lncRNA (ENSPCIG00000029429.2)
Source: RNAcentral
UGUUCCAUCCCCUUCCCUCCCGCCCCCACCACACACACCCUAACCCCUAGAGACCUGAUCUGGGAUGAGAUGAAGGCAAAGAAAGAAGAAACGGGGACUGUUUCUUCUUGUGGGCCUCACGGGUCCUGGGCACGAGACUCCUGCAAUCCUGAGAACUGGUCCUGUUGGAGGCUGGCAAGCAGUAUCUGGCUAACCUGCUGGGCCGCCUUCAGCCCUCCUCCCAGCAUGCACAGGGCCAGCGUCAAGAUUCAAGGCCGCGGCAGUGGGACGCUCAUGGAAGAAUGACGGCGAAAGUCUCAUACCAAGCCACAGUAUUCUGGUUCAAGGCAGGAUCAACUUGUUACUUUAUCUAGGAACCUGACAUUUUAUUAAGGAGAAACAAGAGGGAAGAGGAAUUUGUAUCUAGGAACAUCCCCUACUCCUCCAGCUCACAAAGAGAGCUUUGGAGAGAUCCCUGUGGAGAGAUAGUUACUAUUAUUUCUCCAUGACUCUGUAAUAAUAACAAUCUUCAAGACUCAGCAUGUCAGAGGAGUUGUAUCUGUGCUAUAGCCUAUGGAUGAAGGCCUUCAAGCUCCUACACAUGAAGAAAAUGGGUGAAGCCUUCUGUUCUCUAUAUGUUGCCCACAGCAACUCAUUAAACCAUCUACUAAGACAGGGAGACGUUUGGGAUCUUCAUCGGUCUCAAGAAAAGCUACAUCAAUGAAAUCAUUCUAGAAGUAUUGAAGCAUCUCCUUAUCCAGAUCUUCAGGCUUUCCCUACACACUGACUUCUUUCCCUUAGUGUCUCACCACCCACAGAAUGUAAAUUCCUAGAGGGUACAAGGGCUGCUUCCUUUUUGUCUCAAGCAAAGAGCCAGGUGGAAAAUCAAUCAAUCCAACAACAAACAUUUAUUAAGCCUUAUACUAUGUUCCAGGCAUUGUGCUAAGCACUAGGAUACAAAGAAAGGCCAAAAGAAAAAAAAAUUCCUUCCCUAAAGGAACUUAUAUUCUAAUCAGAGAGACAACAUGUAAAUUGGGUAUGUACAAAAUGGUGCAGUGGAUAGAAUGUCAGACCUGAAGUCAAGUAAGCUUGAGUUCAAAUCUGGCUUUAGACACUUACUAGCUGGGUAACCCUGGGCAAGUCAGUUAACCUCUGUUUGCCUCAGUUUCCUCAUCUGUAAAAUGGGGGCAACAAUAGCAGCUUCAUCCCAGGGUUGUUGUGAGGAUCAAAUGAGAUACCAAUUGUAAAGCACUUAGUAGAGUGCUAUCUAUCUUUCUAUCUAUCUAUCUAUCUAUCUAUCUAUCCA